RNAcentral lists this ribosomal RNA (223 nucleotides) under uncultured bacterium. RNAcentral describes it as "partial 16S ribosomal RNA". It matches the Rfam family "Bacterial small subunit ribosomal RNA", at positions 328 to 539 of the family's 1533-position model. The record is from RNAcentral.
ACGCUCGACACCUACAGGAGGCAGCAGUAGGGAAUCUUCCACAAUGGACGCAAGUCUGAUGGAGCAACGCCGCGUGAGUGAAGAAGGUUUUCGGAUCGUAAAGCUCUGUUGUUGGUGAAGAAGGAUAGAGGUAGUAACUGGCCUUUAUUUGACGGUAAUCAACCAGAAAGUCACGGCUAACUACGUACCAGCAGCCGCGGUAAUCUGAGCGGGCUGGCAAGGC